RNAcentral lists this ribosomal RNA (507 nucleotides) under uncultured bacterium. RNAcentral's name for it is "partial 16S ribosomal RNA". It matches the Rfam family "Bacterial small subunit ribosomal RNA", at positions 30 to 523 of the family's 1533-position model. The record is from RNAcentral.
AUUGAACGCUGGCGGAAUGCUUUACACAUGCAAGUCGAACGGCAGCAUAGAGAGCUUGCUCUCUGAUGGCGAGUGGCGAACGGGUGAGUAAUAUAUCGGAACGUACCCAGUAAUGGGGGAUAACGAAUCGAAAGAUUCGCUAAUACCGCAUAUGCCCUACGGGGGAAAGCGGGGGAUCGUAAGACCUCGCGUUAUUGGAGCGGCCGAUAUCUGAUUAGCUAGUUGGUGAGGUAAAGGCUCACCAAGGCGACGAUCAGUAGCUGGUCUGAGAGGACGACCAGCCACACUGGAACUGAGACACGGUCCAGACUCCUACGGGAGGCAGCAGUGGGGAAUUUUGGACAAUGGGGGCAACCCUGAUCCAGCCAUUCCGCGUGAGUGAAGAAGGCCUUCGGGUUGUAAAGCUCUUUCGCAAGGGAAGAAAACUUAUCUACUAAUACUAGGUGAGCCAAUUGAUGCUACCCACAGAAGAAGCACCGGCUAACUCCGUGCCAGCCGCCGCAGUAA